CCUACGGGGUGCAGCAGUGGGGAAUCUUGCACAAUGGGCGCAAGCCUGAUGCAGCCAUGCCGAGUGUAUGAAGAAGGUCCUAGGGUUGUAAAGUACUUUCAGUCGGGAGGAAGGCGUUGAUGCUAAUAUCAUCAACGAUUGACGUUACCGACAGAAGAAGCACCGGCUAACCCCGUGCCAGCAGCCGCGGUAAUACGGAGGGUGCAAGCGUUAAUCGGAAUUACUGGGCGUAAAGCGCACGCAGGCGGUUGAUUAAGUUAGAUGUGAAAUCCCCGGGCUUAACCUGGGAAUGGCAUCUAAGACUGGUCAGCUAGAGUCUUGUAGAGGGGGGUAGAAUUCCAUGUGUAGCGGUGAAAUGCGUAGAGAUGUGGAGGAAUACCGGUGGCGAAGGCGGCCCCCUGGACAAAGACUGAUGCUCAGGUGCGAAAGCGUGGGGAGCAAACAGGAUUAGAUACCCUCGUAGU
This 464-nucleotide ribosomal RNA is filed under the name uncultured bacterium. RNAcentral's name for it is "bacterial SSU rRNA". It matches the Rfam family "Bacterial small subunit ribosomal RNA", at positions 338 to 794 of the family's 1533-position model. The record is from RNAcentral.